AUUGAACGCUGGCGGCAGGCCUAACACAUGCAAGUCGAAUGGCAACAGAAUAAAGCUUGCUGUUUAGCUGAGGAGUGGCGCGCGCGGGUGAAAUGUACGGGAAACUCUACGUUGGAGGGGGAUAAAUAGUGGAAAAGCUUACUCUAACAGCAUAUAGUCGCAAGACGUAAGAGGGGGACAUCCGGGGAUCUUGCGCUCAGAAAUGACCAGAUGGGAUUAGCUAGUAGGUGGGGUAAAGGCUCACCCAGGCGACGAUCCCUAGCUGGUCUGAGAGGAUGACCAGCCACACUGGAACUGAGACACGGUCCAGACUCCUACGGGAGGCAGCAGUGGGGAAUAUUGCACAAUGGGCGCAAGCCUGAUGCAGCCAUGCCGCGUGUAUGAAGAAGGCCUUCGGGUUGUAAAGUACUUUUGGCGGGAAAGAAGGGAGGAAGGUUAAUACCUUGGCGCAUUGACGUUACCCAAAGAAUAAGCACCGGCUAACUCCGUG
RNAcentral lists this ribosomal RNA (490 nucleotides) under uncultured bacterium. RNAcentral describes it as "partial 16S ribosomal RNA". It matches the Rfam family "Bacterial small subunit ribosomal RNA", at positions 30 to 507 of the family's 1533-position model. The record is from RNAcentral.